CCCCGCUCUCACGUUCCCCUAACUCAAACCAGACGUCCCCGCCAGAUCCUGCACAGCUUUAACCUCGGAGACGCCGUCGGGCAGGUUUGCUGGAUGCCAAUGAGGGUUGCGAGGCGGCCCAGACGGCUGAGUCUGGGAAGGAGGUGAGGAAGCCUGGGGAGCGACAAGGCCUGCAGAGACGGGAUGGUCUGGAGUCCCCUCCGUGACCUCGGGUAGGGAUCUAGAGCGCCUCGAGGGCAGGAAACAGUUAAAUACACUGCAGUCGGAGGCGGGGGAUGGGAGUGGGGAAGGGGGCCCAGAGCCGGCUCUUUGUCAUCUGGUAAUGAGCACCAGAUGCGGAGCUGCGUGCGGGCCUAAACAGACGGCCUCCCAGGGCAGAGCCCCGGCCUGCGCCCAGCCCGGGCUCAGCCCACUUACUCGCAGGCCCCGCCUCAUUCGGGCGCGGCGGCGAACUGCAUACUCCAGCGGUAUCAGCCCGGACCUGGGAGCUACGAGCCACGCCUACUCGCUGCAGAACAGAAGAGAGCCCCCGGGAGCUCUCCAGAGGCCCCGCCCACAAAGCCACAAGCCCCGCCCCUGCCAACUCAAAGAUUCCAGCAGCGAUUGUGCCCGCCCCCUGCCCUCUUGGCCCCGCCCAGUCCCCCGCCCACAACCUACAAGCCCCACCUCCUCCGCUCGGCGCGCGCAGAUUGGCGGAACUAUUAGUCUCGGCUUCUAGGAGGUAUGAACUUCGCCCCGAGUUUACACAUUCUCUUCACGCGGCGCUACAGGCCCCGCCCAACACAACUGCAAGCUUCGCCUCACAGAGCCCUGGACACUGCAGGGAAUCCCUCAGAGGUCUUAACUCUGUUGGGGGAUGAUGUAAACUCCGCCCUCCAGGGAAACGUGUGAAGUUCCCCUCAACCUCCUCUUCAGGCUCCGUCCCCAGCUACAAGCUCCGCCCCCUCUCAAGCUCACAAAAGUGGAAGAACUGCGCCCUCGUAGGACUGUCACACCUCACACAUCGAGCGGAGGUAGCGGUUCACCUACACGGAGCCCCGCCCCCGGGGCCGCCCACGAAAGAUGCAAGCCACGCCCCUGGGGGCCCUGGAGUCCCGCCCACCCAGAGCGCCCUGGCUGCGGCGUAGCGCACAAAUACGGCUCUGCGAAGAGCGCUACCGAGCGAGCCUCUUAUCGCACGCCCCGCCCACACUCAGGCUCACCCUCUUGGCGCAAGCACCGCCCACUCCACCCCUGGGUCCCUUACCACCUUCGCGAUAUGCCCAGAUCCACCAGUCCUCCGAACCCCUCAUCUCUCACCACGAUGCCCUUGAACCUGGCCCUGGAGCCCUCUUCUUCCUCCACCUACGGUUUCCGUUUGUCCAGAUUUCGGGUUCUCUGGGCGAGCCCGGAGACUGGGCCCGGACAGCCGGGCAGAUGGCGUCGAUGGGCCUUUGGCGCCACCUGGCCUCGGCCCCACGGACUUACAGCCACCGCGAGGCCUCGGUAGGGCCUCUCUCUCAAAGCGUACUAAUUGCUCAGUAAAUAGAAAUAGCUGCUUAAUUCGUUAAA
Molecule: long non-coding RNA, 1551 nt
Organism: Homo sapiens (human)
Lineage: Eukaryota; Metazoa; Chordata; Mammalia; Primates; Hominidae
Source: Ensembl